RNAcentral lists this ribosomal RNA (97 nucleotides) under uncultured bacterium. Its description in RNAcentral is "partial 16S ribosomal RNA". It matches the Rfam family "Bacterial small subunit ribosomal RNA", at positions 1388 to 1482 of the family's 1533-position model. The record is from RNAcentral.
CACCGCCCGUCACACCAUGGGAGUGGAGGAUACCAGAAGUUAUUAGACUAACUCGCAAGAGAGGUCGAUUACCACGGUAUGUUUCAUGACUGGGGUG